RNAcentral lists this long non-coding RNA (2205 nucleotides) under Zostera marina. RNAcentral's name for it is "long non-coding RNA (ZMAR_LNC000290)". Lineage: Eukaryota; Viridiplantae; Streptophyta; Magnoliopsida; Alismatales; Zosteraceae. The record is from RNAcentral.
AAUAGGUAAUGACAAAUAACCCCUCAAACAUAAGUAAUCGGGUGAGAUGCAUUAAUCGGUCAAUCAAUUAUAACCCAUUUAUGUGGAAAUGUUUUUUAACCAAAAUCAUAUACAGACUUCAUAACCCUAUUUUCGAUUCAUCCCUAAUUUCGAAAUUCUCCGUCGGUCUUGUACCAGGCAGUCUCGUAUAUCUCAAAACUUGUAUGGUUUGUAAAUCAUGUUGCCGAUUACCCAUUCCAAAUAAUUCCGUCAUGGCGAAGUGGAAGAACAACAUCACCGGAGACAUACCUUAUUUUCUUUGGAGAAUAUAAAAGCGAGGUAAGGGAUUAUUUUGGAUUUAUUGUUCUGAGUUUUUCGUUAAGUGUUAGACAACAAUAUAUUAGAUUUCGUCUACGAGUUUUUAGGUUUUAUUCCUCCGCUUCUUUCGUUUAAUGAUGUUCUCCAAGAACAGUUGACGAAUAUUUCAUCACAUGUAGAUUGUUUUGGAAAAUUAUACAAGCUGUCUGGCCUCCGAUUACUUUGUUUUAUUUAAUGAUCUAGAGUACCUAUUGAUUAUCAAUUUUCAGAUUAUCGAGGGAUGACUUCUUCGAGUCUUUAGGUAAAUCCAGAACGCGGCGGGGUUUAGUUAUCCUCUCGCCUGCGUAGACCGGGUGGUAGGGAUUUUCGGGUAGAUCGGGAGAGAUGGGCCAUCAUAAAAUCGGUAAGGAUUUAUCCAAAUAAAUUAUAACCCAAUAUAUAUCCGAAAUAUUUUAUCCGGAUAUAACCGGGUAAUUAUUCGGAUAUAACUAAUUCGGUUAGUAUAACCGAAAGUAGAUACCAUUCAGUUUAUACUAUUAGGUUAUAUUAUUUUACCGUUUAUACCCAUUACUCUAUAAUUUCACAUUAAUUAUAUGGAUUUCGAUUAUCGAAAAAUUAUCCUGAAAUCGCUUAAAUAGAAGAGAUAUUGAUAUCGAUUUUUGGUAAUUCGAAUUUCUAGAAUUCCACCGACUUUUUAAAAUCUUAUUAUGGUCAAAUUUUUUUGUAUAUAAUUAAUUAAUUAUUAACGGUCAAAUCUAUAUUAAUAAAUUUGUUACAUUUAGUUUAAUACAAUGUGUGAAAUACGUUAUGUGAAGGUAUUGGUAAAUUUGACAAUGGGCUUUUAUUAAAUAAAUUUAUUGUAUUAGAAUAAUUUUUUCAGGUAUAGUCUUUUGACUGUGGCACUCUGCACACGUCAAUCAUCUAUCGAGGGCAAGUCUGUGCACGUCUGAUCGACGUCAUUCAUGUCUCCUUCUGCAGCUUUUUCGGAGGAGGUUAGUCAGUGAAAAAAUCUGAGCGUGGUUUAACUUCUGUAGGUUUAUCAAGGUUAGACUGUCGAUUAACUUGGUUUAAAUUUUUAGUCACCAUCUACAUCUUUUUCUUCCGACAACACUGGUUUAAAUUUUUAGUCGGCCUCUACAUCUUCUCUUCAUCGUUUACUCUUUUACUCUUUCGUUAUCUGUCGUCGUAACAAUCUGAUGUUCUGCAGGUGACCGACCCAUCUGAAAAUGGAUACUGAUCAUGACUACAUGAAAUCCAUCAAAUAGGAUUCUGCAGGUGCCGUCGUAACCAGAUGUUAGUAAUCCGGACCCGUCUCUUUAAAAACGGUGCAAAUCUUGUGAAAAUCCUGUGAAAACAAGGUAAAGAUUCGGCGCGUUAAUAUCAGGUUUAAUACUCGGAUUACUUUGUCUAUUUAAAACUCUUUAAUGCUCUGUAAAAAUCUGUUUAAAUGACUUUGUAAAAAUCUGACACAUUUAAUAUUUUGUAAAAAUCUGCUGACACUCAAACCGACCAUCUAUCCAUUACAAGUUUAGCUUUAUAAUUUAUUAAUUUUUUACAAAUAUCAAGAAAAUAUGAUUAUAUUUACACACUAUACAUACUUGUCAAUCCAAAUAAUCAAAUGUCAAAAAUUAAACAUCUAAUGUCAAUCAACUGUUGACAUGUCAGUAACAAUUUUUAUACUUAUUCGAUUUGUUGUGAUGACAUGGACAAAAAAAUUUACAGAUUAAGAAAAAAUUACAGACAUUGAUCGAGAAUUUAAAUUUCAGAGUAGAGAAAUUUACAUGAAAACGAUUGUAUGAUCACGAUUCCAUCAUGGCAUAAUAUGACACGGAUUGGUGCACUAACCACGGAUUGUGGUGUCCAAUCCGUGGUGAUUAUAAAAAACAAAAAUAUUUACCAUUCUUAAAG